This 500-nucleotide ribosomal RNA is filed under the name uncultured bacterium. Its description in RNAcentral is "partial 16S ribosomal RNA". It matches the Rfam family "Bacterial small subunit ribosomal RNA", at positions 30 to 523 of the family's 1533-position model. The record is from RNAcentral.
AUUGAGCGCUGGCGGAAUGCUUUACACAUGCAAGUCGAACGGCAGCACGGACUUCGGUCUGGUGGCGAGUGGCGAACGGGUGAGUAAUGUAUCGGAACGUGUCCAGUCGUGGGGGAUAACGUAGUGAAAAUUACGCUAAUACCGCAUACGAUCUAUGGAUGAAAGCGGGGGAUCGCAAGACCUCGCGCGAUUGGAGCGGCCGAUAUCAGAUUAAGUAGUUGGUGGGGUAAAGGCCCACCAAGCCAACGAUCUGUAGCUGGUCUGAGAGGACGACCAGCCACACUGGAACUGAGACACGGUCCAGACUCCUACGGGAGGCAGCAGUGGGGAAUUUUGGACAAUGGGCGAAAGCCUGAUCCAGCCAUUCCGCGUGCAGGAUGAAGGCCCUCGGGUUGUAAACUGCUUUUGUACAGAACGAAAAGGUUUCUACUAAUACUAGGAGCUCAUGACGGUACUGUAAGAAUAAGCACCGGCUAACUACGUGCCAGCAGCCGCAGUAA